CCUUGAAGAAUGCUUAGCUCUCGCACUUUUCUUCUAGGCAUUUUAUCUGCAAAACAAAUAAAAUAGUUGAAAACUUAGUAUACAAUUACAACAAUAAUAGCACAUAUAAAAUAGUUUAAAUAUAUAAUAAGACCAAUAAUUAUAUUAUGAUAUAUGUAUGUUGUGUAUAAUGUAAUUAAGUUAUGUAAGUUGUGUAUUAUUAAAGUUAAGUAUUAUGUAAGUUAUUUAAGUUAUGUAAGUGGUGUAUUAUGUAAGUUAAGUAAGUUAUGUAGGCUAUGUAUUAUGCAAGUUAUUUAUGUAAGUGGUGUAUUGUGUAAGUUAUAUAAGUUAUGUAGGCUAUGUGUUAUCUAAGUUUUUAAGUUAUAUAAGUUAUGCAAGUUUCUAUAUAAGUUUCUAUGUAAGUUAUGUAGGUUAUUAUUUAAGUUAUGUAUUAUGUAAGAAUAAAUAAAAAAAUUUAUUUAAGUUAUGUAUUAUGUAAGUGUAUAUAUAAGUUAUGAUAUGAUUUAUAAGUUAUGUAUAAUGUAAGUUAUGAAAGUUAUGUAUUAUGUAAGUUAUGUAAGUUGUGUAUUAUGCAAGUCAUGUAGGCUAUGUAUUAUGUAAGUUAUUAUGUUAUUAUGUAAGUUAUGAAAGUUAUAUAUAAGUUAUUAAAAAUGUAUUAUGUAAUUUAUGUAAGUUGUGUAUUAUGCAAGUCAUGUAGGCUAUGUAUUAUGUAAGUUAUGAAAGUUUUAUAUAAGUGAUUAAAAAUGUAUUAUGUAAGUUAUGUAAGUUGUGUAUUAUGCAAGUCAUGUAGGCUAUGUAUUAUGUAAGUUAUUAUGUUAUUAUGUAAGUUAUGAAAGUUAUAUAUAAGUUAUUAAAAUAUAUAUAUAAAUUUUUAAUAUAUAUAUUAAAAAUGUAUAUAAAUAUUAAUAAGUUAUUAAGUUAUAUAUUAAAAAUUUAUAAGUUAUAUAUGGAAACAUAUGAAUAAAUACCUCAAAUUUCCUCAAUUUCGAAGCAGACGGCUGCCAAACAAAAAACACAACUAAAUUAGUACAAAAAAACAGAAAAAAAUUUGGAGUAAACAGAAUAUAAUUUUAAUAAAAAAAAUAGGAGUAAACACAACUAACAUGUAAAGCCCGAUAAUAAAAUUGAACCGACUGUUUUCUAAUAAUUUAAAUAUUAAUUGAACCGACUGUUUUCUAAUACUGUUUUCUACGUAACAAUAUUAAUUUGUCAGUGCAGUUUGAAAGAAUUCCAGGGUUGUAAACAGUUAGUUGUUCCAUAAAAUCUUUUCAUUUGUAAAUCUUAAUUGGAAUUAAAAAGAUUUAAUUUCUCAAUUGGUGAAAUAAAAUAGUUCGAUAAAAAAAAAACCUGAAUUAAAAGAAUGAGGCACAAAUUUAUAAAAACUUUAGAAUUUCAUAGGUGUACUUGGGCUUUUGACCCAUUUGAACAAUUUUUAAGGUAGAAUAAUUUAAGAAGAAGCUAGCCCUCAUCAGUAGUGUAAUAGUCUUUCAUUCUCCCUUGUAUUUUCUUGAAUUAUCUGAAAAAGUAAAUACUCAAAAUUUUGCUAAAUCACUUGAAAAACAAACCUCUUAAACUCAUUUACACCAUCAAUCUUUUAAAUGUUAACCUAUCAUUUCAUGAGUUUUAGUGGGUUUUAGUAUGAGAAAACAAAGCUAGAAAGAAAAUGUUUCAAUAAUGUUUAAAAAAAAAAAAAAACUUUUUUAACAUGAUAUUUUAGUUUAAUGGUUAUGAGAAAGUUUGAAAAGAUUUGCUACUUUAUGCCUUUAGCGUCAAGGUUUAAAUUUCGUCUUAUGAAAAUUAUAUGUGAGCUAGUUAGUUAAUUCGACUUAAUUUAGUGCUUAUAAUAAAUUAUUUUAAUUAAAUUUAUUAUACAAAUAAUUAAUUCUAACUUAAAAAAUAUUAAAUUAAAUGUGGAAUAAUUUUUACAUAAAAAAGGUUUCAUGGAAGAAGAUAAGCCUCUAUGAUUAAAUGGUUAAUUGGAUAUAAACUAGAAUGGAAUUUGAAAAAACAAAGUAUUUUGCAUCUAAGGCAUUGUUGGAGUGCCAACUUAACUCACAUUUUGAUCCAAUGAUUACUUCACAUUUCAAUUCAUUAUGAACUUAAAAUACCAAUUUCAAUAUUUCCUCACAAAAAAAACUAAACAUUCGGUGCCUAUAAUCAAAACUUAAAAAGUUUCUCUAACAUGAUUUAUUGAUUCAUUUGCCACCUCAAAAGCCCUUAAUUUUUGUGCACAAAAAGCUUUUAACUAAUUUAGUUUCAUUAAAGGCAAAUGGCAAUGGCACCCCCCCCCCCCAAAUGGUGCAAUCAUUUUCAAAGUCUAAAGAAAUGAUAAUGGUGGAUAUCCCCCACCCACCACCAUUCCUACCAUUUUUCUCUUCAAUUAGAGAGAAAAAAAGGGUCCAAUUAACUUCGCUUUUGAGCUUGUUCAAAGGUGAAAGAUUUAUAAAGCAAUAUAUAUAUAUAUAUAUAUAAAACCAUUAAAUUACAUGUCUUUAGUCACCCCUUCAUUAACAACAACAAGCUUUAAUACCAAGAUAUGCUAGAUACCCAAAGUUGGCCAGUCCCAGUUAUAUAUAUAUGCUCAUAUAGACCAUAUAAAAGGGUUUCAAAGUUUGCUGGGAUUUUUUUAGUUGUCUUCGGAUUCUAAUAAUGUCCCUUUAGCCAUCUUCUUUGAUCAUAAAGUUCAACUCGGUACAGCCAUAUAGGUCCUUUCUCUUAUGCUUUUAUCAAUGUUGAGACUAAAAUCAAGCUUUUCUUAUUACAUUUUUUUCUUAUCUUUCUAAGAUCAGCCGACCUACAAUAUUCCAACUCAUUUGUGUUUCCAACAUGUUCCUGCUUGGCAAAAAAACAUAAAUUUUCCUUUUCCUAGUACCAAACUUAACUCGGUUAUGGUCCAAUACGCCAUCUACACACCUCUAGUGUAUAUCUGCAGAACAUAAAGAACUGAGUGCCUAGACUAAAAAAGGUUCAAAGUUUCCCUAAAAAAGGUUCAAAGUUGCCCUAAAAUAAACUUACAGCAAGCAGCAAACAGUAUGCAUAUGGCAAAUACAUUCAAUCAGCAUGCCAGUACCAACCACAUUCAUUUUUAAACCCGCAAAUAUCAAUGCGUUUCAAAAUUAAAUUUCAUAUUUAAACAGUCCAAAACAAAUGCCCGACUAGAAACUAACCGAUGACGACGGCCGUAGUAGUCCGACGGUGACGGAGAUGCUCGAGCUUCUAAUGUUUGCGUAGCAGGUGGUCGGCCCGGACAAAGACAACAGCGAUUUUUCAGAUGGCGCAAAUUGAAUGGGUUUGGGGUUAGGGAUUUACUGAAUUAAUC
This 3319-nucleotide long non-coding RNA is filed under the name Gossypium barbadense (sea-island cotton). Its description in RNAcentral is "long non-coding RNA (GBAR_LNC016894)". The record is from RNAcentral. Lineage: Eukaryota; Viridiplantae; Streptophyta; Magnoliopsida; Malvales; Malvaceae.